CGAUGAAGCCGCAGCUUGCUGUGGUGGAUUAGUGGCGAACGGGCGANUAACACGUGAGUAACCUGUCCUUUUCUUUGGGAUAACGGCUGGAAACGGCUGCUAAUACUGGAUAUUCAGGCGUCACCGCAUGGUGGUGUUUGGAAAGGUUUUUUCUGGGAUUGGGUGGGCUCGCGGCCUAUCAGCUUGUUGGUGGGGUGAUGGCUUACCAAGGCUUUGACGGGUAGCCGGCCUGAGAGGGUGGUCGGUCGCACUGGGACUGAGAUACGGCCCAGACUCCUACGGGAGGCAGCAGUGGGGAAUAUUGCACAAUGGACGAAAGUUUGAUGCAGCGACGCCGCGUGGAGGGUGUAGGCCUUCGGGUUGUGAACUCCUUUUUCUCGCGAAAAAGGCACAGUUUUGGCUGUGUUGAUGGUAGUGGGGGAAGAAGCGCCGGCUAACUACGUGCCAGCAGCCGCGGUAAUACGUAGGGCGCGAGCGUUGUCCGGAUUUAUUGGGCGUAAAGAGCUCGUAGGUGGUUCGUCGCGUCUGUCGUGAAAGCCAGCAGCUUAACUGUUGGUCUGCGGUGGGUACGGGCGGGCUUGAGUGCGGUAGGGGUGACUGGAAUUCCUGGUGUAGCGGUGGAAUGCGCAGAUAUCAGGAGGAACACCGAUGGCGAAGGCAGGUCACUGGGCCGUUACUGACACUGAGGAGCGAAAGCGUGGGGAGCGAACAGGAUUAGAU
This 720-nucleotide ribosomal RNA is filed under the name Mobiluncus curtisii. RNAcentral's name for it is "bacterial SSU rRNA". It matches the Rfam family "Bacterial small subunit ribosomal RNA", at positions 67 to 783 of the family's 1533-position model. The record is from RNAcentral. Lineage: Bacteria; Bacillati; Actinomycetota; Actinomycetes; Actinomycetales; Actinomycetaceae.